RNAcentral lists this ribosomal RNA (473 nucleotides) under uncultured bacterium. RNAcentral describes it as "bacterial SSU rRNA". It matches the Rfam family "Bacterial small subunit ribosomal RNA", at positions 355 to 825 of the family's 1533-position model. The record is from RNAcentral.
UGGGGAAUUGUUCACAAUGGGCGCAAGCCUGAUGACGCAACGCCGCGUGGGGGAUGAAGGUCUUCGGAUCGUAAACCCCUGUCGAAUGGGACGAAAGACUCGCGAGUGAAUACUUCGCGAGAGUGACGGUACCGUUAAAGGAAGCCACGGCUAACUCUGUGCCAGCAGCCGCGGUAAUACAGAGGUGGCAAGCGUUGUUCGGAAUUACUGGGCGUAAAGGGCGCGUAGGCGGCCCUCUAAGUCAGACGUGAAAUCCCCCGGCUUAACCUGGGAACUGCGUCUGAUACUGGAGGGCUUGAGUAUGGGAGAGGGAUGUAGAAUUCCAGGUGUAGCGGUGAAAUGCGUAGAUAUCUGGAGGAAUACCGGUGGCGAAGGCGGCAUCCUGGACCAUUACUGACGCUGAGGCGCGAAAGCUAGGGGAGCAAACGGGAUUAGAUACCCUAGUAGUCCCUGAGCGGGCUGGCAAGGCGCAU